This 301-nucleotide ribosomal RNA is filed under the name uncultured bacterium. RNAcentral's name for it is "partial 16S ribosomal RNA". It matches the Rfam family "Bacterial small subunit ribosomal RNA", at positions 509 to 807 of the family's 1533-position model. The record is from RNAcentral.
CAGUAGCCACGGUAAUACGGAGGGUGCAAGCGUUACUCGGAAUUACUGGGCGUAAAGCGUGCGUAGGUGGUGGUUUAAGUCCGUUGUGAAAGCCCUGGGCUCAACCUGGGAAUUGCAGUGGAUACUGGGUCACUAGAGUGUGGUAGAGGAUAGUGGAAUUUCCGGUGUAGCAGUGAAAUGCGUAGAGAUCGGAAGGAACAUCUGUGGCGAAGGCGACUAUCUGGGCCAACACUGACACUGAGGCACGAAAGCGUGGGGAGCAAACAGGAUUAGAUACCCCUGUAGUCCCUGUCUCUUAUAC